GAUUACAGCCAUGCCACCCUGAACGUGCCCGAUCUUGUCUGAUCUCGGAAGCUAAGCAGAGUUGGGCCUGGUUAGUACUUGUAUGGGAGACCACAUAGAAAUACCAAGUGCUGUAGGCG
Molecule: ribosomal RNA, 119 nt
Filed under: Pteropus alecto (black flying fox)
Lineage: Eukaryota; Metazoa; Chordata; Mammalia; Chiroptera; Pteropodidae
Source: RNAcentral